RNAcentral lists this ribosomal RNA (431 nucleotides) under uncultured bacterium. RNAcentral describes it as "partial 16S ribosomal RNA". It matches the Rfam family "Bacterial small subunit ribosomal RNA", at positions 29 to 507 of the family's 1533-position model. The record is from RNAcentral.
AACGAACGCUGGCGGCAGGCCUAACACAUGCAAGUCGAGCGCCCUUUCGGGGGCGCGGCGGACGGGUGAGUACCGCGUGGGAAUAUGCCCUUCUCUACGGAAUAGCCUCGGGAAACUGAGAGUAAUACCGUAUACGCCCUGUGGGGGAAAGAUUUAUCGGGGAAGGAUUAGCCCGCGUUGGAUUAGGUAGUUGGUGGGGUAAUGGCCUACCAAGCCGACGAUCCAUAGCUGGUUUGAGAGGAUGAUCAGCCACACUGGGACUGGGACACGGCCCAGUAUCCUACGGGAAGCAGCAGUGGGGAAUCUUAGACAAUGGGGGCAACCCUGAUCUAGCCAUGCCGCGUGAGUGAUGAAGGCCUUAGGGUUGUAAAGCUCUUUCAGCUGGGAAGAUAAUGACGGUACCAGCAGAAGAAGCCCCGGCUAGCUCCGUG